UUUGGGAGCCAUUAGUGAUGGGCAUUCCAAGUAUUUUUUUUACAUUUAUUUGGUUCCUAAACAGCUUAAAAAUGCUUAAAACCUCAGAAACAGAAAAGGCUGGAAUUAUGUAAGAUCAGAAAAUAUACAUUCAAACAGGCUACAACUACACAUUACUUGUCCUCAUUGUUUAAUAUUAGUAUAAUGUUACCCUACUGACCAAAAGUGUGUGGUCAAAAACAAUGCUGUCUCACCACUAAAUAUCGUUGUACGUUUGUUUAUAGUUGGCCACCAGGUUUGUCCCUCUAAGGAGGGACUUUGUCCCACUCCUCUUUGCAGAUCUUCUCCAAGUCAUUAAGGUUUUGAGGCUGACGUUUGGUAACUCAAACUCUCAGCUCCCUCCACAGAUUUUCUAUGGGAUUAAGGUCUGGAGACUGGCUAGACCACUCCAGGAACUUAAUGUGCUUCUUCUGGAAUUUUGGCCGUGUGUUUAGGGUCAUUGCCACGCUAGAAUACCCAUCCACAACCCAUUUCAAUCCCCUCUAGAUUACUGUAGAUUGGUGGAUACUUUAGGUCUUUUAUAAGGUUUAUCAAUGGUAAAACGAACAAUGGGUUUAUACUUGUUUGGCAGACGCACUACAGUAGAACCACUUUAAUACUCAAGCUGGAGCAAGGAAGUAUGAAGUUUUGAUUGUGGGCACAACCAUAAACAAUACAAUAAAAAUAGCAUCUCAGUAAAGACAAACUGAUAUUAGGAGCACUCCCUUUAAGAGUGUGCUCCUGAUCUCAGCUCGUUACCUGUAUAAAAGACACCUGGGAGCCAG
Molecule: long non-coding RNA, 803 nt
Organism: Esox lucius (northern pike)
Lineage: Eukaryota; Metazoa; Chordata; Actinopteri; Esociformes; Esocidae
Source: Ensembl